GAUGAACGCUGGCGGCGUGCCUAAUACAUGCAAGUCGAGCGAACGGACGAGAAGCUUGCUUCUCUGAUGUUAGCGGCGGACGGGUGAGUAACACGUGGAUAACCUACCUAUAAGACUGGGAUAACUUCGGGAAACCGGAGCUAAUACCGGAUAAUAUUUUGAACCGCAUGGUUCAAAAGUGAAAGACGGUCUUGCUGUCACUUAUAGAUGGAUCCGCGCUGCAUUAGCUAGUUGGUAAGGUAACGGCUUACCAAGGCAACGAUGCAUAGCCGACCUGAGAGGGUGUUCGGCCACACUGGAACUGAGACACGGUCCAGACUCCUACGGGAGGCAGCGGUAGGGAAUCUUCCGCAAUGGGCGAAAGCCUGACGGAGCAACGCCGCGUGAGUGAUGAAGGUCUUCGGAUCGUAAAACUCUGUUAUUAGGGAAGAACAUAUGUGUAAGUAACUGUGCACAUCUUGACGGUACCUAAUCAGAAAGCCACGGCUAACUACGUG
This 497-nucleotide ribosomal RNA is filed under the name uncultured bacterium. RNAcentral describes it as "partial 16S ribosomal RNA". It matches the Rfam family "Bacterial small subunit ribosomal RNA", at positions 28 to 507 of the family's 1533-position model. The record is from RNAcentral.